GACGACGCUUGGCGGCGCGCUUAACACAUGCAAGUCGUGCGGUGUCGAAGGCAAGUCUUACGACAAGCCUUCGACACAGCGGCGAAUGGGUGAGUAACACGUGAGUAGCUGUCCUAAGGAGGGGGAUAACGCCUGGAAACGGGUGCUAAUACCCCAUAUGCCUCGCAAGAGGUAAAAGUGUACUUGUUACAGCCUUAGGGUGUGCUCGCGGCCUAUCAGCUAGUUGGUGAGGUAACGGCUCACCAAGGCUAAGACGGGUAGCCGGCCUGAGAGGGUGUACGGCCACACUGGAAUUGAGAUACGGUCCAGACUCCUACGGGAGGCAGCAGUGGGGAAUCUUGGGCAAUGGGCGAAAGCCUGACCCAGCGACGCCGCGUUGGGGAUGAAGCCCUUCGGGGCGUAAACCCAUGUUGUAGGGGACGAAGAAAGUGACGGUACCCUACGAGAAAGCCCCGGCCAACUACGUG
RNAcentral lists this ribosomal RNA (467 nucleotides) under uncultured bacterium. RNAcentral describes it as "bacterial SSU rRNA". It matches the Rfam family "Bacterial small subunit ribosomal RNA", at positions 36 to 507 of the family's 1533-position model. The record is from RNAcentral.